This 157-nucleotide non-coding RNA is filed under the name Chattonella subsalsa. Lineage: Eukaryota; Raphidophyceae; Chattonellales; Chattonellaceae. The record is from RNAcentral.
CAUUGCAUGUAGCAAUCGAAUUAGAUAUGUAGAUAGUAGGAGGGAUACAUUCAUCAUUGUAAGGAUAAUAAUAAUUAUUAUUAAUUUUUGUAUCCCAAAAAAUGAAGAAAAAAAUUAGUUUAUUCUCCAAAAAGCAGGUUAAGAAAUUUGGGAGUAA